Molecule: ribosomal RNA, 234 nt
Filed under: uncultured bacterium
Lineage: Bacteria
Description: partial 16S ribosomal RNA
Rfam family: Bacterial small subunit ribosomal RNA
Source: RNAcentral
UGAGUAACCUGCCCUUAAUUCUGGGAUAAGCCUGGGAAACUGGGUCUAAUACCGGAUAUGACUCCUCAUCGCAUGGUGGGGGGUGGAAAGCUUUUUGUGGUUUUGGAUGGGCUCGCGGCCUAUCAGCUUGUUGGUGGGGUGAUGGCCUACCAAGGCGACGACGGGUAGCCGGCCUGAGAGGGCGACCGGCCACACUGGGACUGAGACACGGCCCAGACUCCGUACGGGAGGCAG